RNAcentral lists this ribosomal RNA (365 nucleotides) under Enterobacter sp. CK69. RNAcentral describes it as "partial 16S ribosomal RNA". It matches the Rfam family "Bacterial small subunit ribosomal RNA", at positions 602 to 967 of the family's 1533-position model. The record is from RNAcentral. Lineage: Bacteria; Pseudomonadati; Pseudomonadota; Gammaproteobacteria; Enterobacterales; Enterobacteriaceae.
CCCGGGCUCAACCUGGGAACUGCAUUCGAAACUGGCAGGCUAGAGUCUUGUAGAGGGGGGUAGAAUUCCAGGUGUAGCGGUGAAAUGCGUAGAGAUCUGGAGGAAUACCGGUGGCGAAGGCGGCCCCCUGGACAAAAAAAAACGCUCAGGUGCGAAAGCGUGGGGAGCAAACAGGAUUAGAUACCCUGGUAGUCCACGCCGUAAACGAUGUCGACUUGGAGGUUGUGCCCUUGAGGCGUGGCUUCCGGAGCUAACGCGUUAAGUCGACCGCCUGGGGAGUACGGCCGCAAGGUUAAAACUCAAAUGAAUUGACGGGGGCCCGCACAAGCGGGGAGCAUGUGGUUUAAUUCGAUGCAACGCGAAGU